CCUACGGGCGGCAGCAGUGGGGAAUAUUGGACAAUGGGCGAAAGCCUGAUCCAGCCAUGCCGCGUGUGUGAAGAAGGCCUUCGGGUUGUAAAGCACUUUCAGUGGGGAAGAAAGCCUUGGGGCUAAUACCCUCGAGGAAGGACAUCACCCACAGAAGAAGCACCGGCUAACUCCGUGCCAGCAGCCGCGGUAAUACGGAGGGUGCGAGCGUUAAUCGGAAUUACUGGGCGUAAAGCGCGCGUAGGCGGUCUGAUAAGCCGGUUGUGAAAGCCCCGGGCUCAACCUGGGAACGGCAUCCGGAACUGUCAGGCUAGAGUGCAGGAGAGGAAGGUAGAAUUCCCGGUGUAGCGGUGAAAUGCGUAGAGAUCGGGAGGAAUACCAGUGGCGAAGGCGGCCUUCUGGACUGACACUGACGCUGAGGUGCGAAAGCGUGGGUAGCAAACAGGAUUAGAUACCGGGUAGUC
This 464-nucleotide ribosomal RNA is filed under the name Vreelandella stevensii. RNAcentral's name for it is "partial 16S ribosomal RNA". It matches the Rfam family "Bacterial small subunit ribosomal RNA", at positions 338 to 795 of the family's 1533-position model. Lineage: Bacteria; Pseudomonadati; Pseudomonadota; Gammaproteobacteria; Oceanospirillales; Halomonadaceae. The record is from RNAcentral.